This 497-nucleotide ribosomal RNA is filed under the name uncultured bacterium. RNAcentral's name for it is "partial 16S ribosomal RNA". It matches the Rfam family "Bacterial small subunit ribosomal RNA", at positions 28 to 507 of the family's 1533-position model. The record is from RNAcentral.
GAUGAACGCUGGCGGCGUGCCUAAUACAUGCAAGUCGAGCGAACAGACGAGGAGCUUGCUCCUCUGACGUUAGCGGCGGACGGGUGAGUAACACGUGGAUAACCUACCUAUAAGACUGGGAUAACUUCGGGAAACCGGAGCUAAUACCGGAUAAUAUAUUGAACCGCAUGGUUCAAUAGUGAAAGACGGUUUUGCUGUCACUUAUAGAUGGUUCCGCGCCGCAUUAGCUAGUUGGUAAGGUAACGGCUUACCAAGGCAACGAUGCGUAGCCGACCUGAGAGGGUGAUCGGCCACACUGGAACUGAGACACGGUCCAGACUCCUACGGGAGGCAGCAGUAGGGAAGCUGCCGCAAUGGGCGAAAGCUUGACGGAGCAACGCCGCGGGAGUGAUGAAGGUCUUCGGAUCGGAAAACUCUGUUAUUAGGGAAGAACAAAUGUGUAAGUAACUAUGCACGUCUUGACGGUACCUAAUCAGAAAGCCACGGCUAACUACGUG